This 446-nucleotide ribosomal RNA is filed under the name uncultured bacterium. RNAcentral's name for it is "bacterial SSU rRNA". It matches the Rfam family "Bacterial small subunit ribosomal RNA", at positions 355 to 796 of the family's 1533-position model. The record is from RNAcentral.
UCGAGGAUCUUCGGCAAUGGGCGCAAGCCUGACCGAGCGACGCCGCGUGCGGGAUGAAGGCUUUCGGGUUGUAAACCGCUGUCAGAGGGGAUGAAAUGUAGGUGGGUUCUCCCAUCUAUUUGACAUAUCCUCAGAGGAAGUACGGGCUAAGUUCGUGCCAGCAGCCGCGGUAAGACGAACCGUACGAACGUUAUUCGGAAUUACUGGGCUUAAAGGGUGCGUAGGCUGCGCAGAAAGUUGGGUGUGAAAUCCCUCGGCUUAACCGAGGAACUGCGCCCAAAACUGCUGUGCUCGAGGGAGACAGAGGUGAGCGGAACUUAGGGUGGAGCGGUGAAAUGCGUUGAUAUCCUAAGGAACACCCGUGGCGAAAGCGGCUCACUGGGUCUCUUCUGACGCUGAGGCACGAAAGCUAGGGUAGCGAACGGGAUUAGAUACCCCCGUAGUCC